UACGAAGGGGGCUAGCGUUGUUCGGAAUUACUGGGCGUAAAGCGCACGUAGGCGGAUUGGUCAGUUAGGGGUGAAAUCCCAGGGCUCAACCCUGGAACUGCCUUUAAUACUGCCAAUCUAGAGUCCGAGAGAGGUGAGUGGAAUUCCGAGUGUAGAGGUGAAAUUCGUAGAUAUUCGGAGGAACACCAGUGGCGAAGGCGGCUCACUGGCUCGGUACUGACGCUGAGGUGCGAAAGCGUGGGGAGCAAACAGG
This 253-nucleotide ribosomal RNA is filed under the name uncultured bacterium. RNAcentral describes it as "partial 16S ribosomal RNA". It matches the Rfam family "Bacterial small subunit ribosomal RNA", at positions 524 to 776 of the family's 1533-position model. The record is from RNAcentral.